UACGGAGGGAGCUAGCGUUGCUCGGAAUCACUGGGCGUAAAGGGUGCGUAGGCGGGUCUUUAAGUCAGGGGUGAAAUCCUGGAGCUCAACUCCAGAACUGCCUUUGAUACUGAAGAUCUUGAGUUCGGGAGAGGUGAGUGGAACUGCGAGUGUAGAGGUGAAAUUCGUAGAUAUUCGCAAGAACACCAGUGGCGAAGGCGGCUCACUGGCCCGAUACUGACGCUGAGGCACGAAAGCGUGGGGAGCAAACAGG
RNAcentral lists this ribosomal RNA (253 nucleotides) under uncultured bacterium. RNAcentral describes it as "partial 16S ribosomal RNA". It matches the Rfam family "Bacterial small subunit ribosomal RNA", at positions 524 to 776 of the family's 1533-position model. The record is from RNAcentral.